UUUCUGGUUCUCUAUUCUCCUCCCAGCCCAGACUGCAAUGAUUUCUCCAAAUAGCAACUAGAAACCUCAAGUAGUAAUCCUCAUGGGGUUACCGUGUGUUUCUGUGUCAUCUGUCCCAAAGAAUGGUUCAUUGUGAUUGGCCUGGGGCAAGCAUUAAGAGGAUGUUAUGAUCAUGCAGCCUUUGAAAAUGAGAGAAUCACAUGUGGCAGAGAUUGGUCACUUUGGCCACCCUUGGCCACCCCUGCCCGUCCUUCAUGAUCAGACACCACCAGAGUUAACAAUGGCUGCUCUUCCUUCUUUUAAAUGCAGCACCACAAACGACACCAUAAACAGAUUUGAAAAUGAAAUUCAAUACUAAGAAAAGUAUCUUCUUUGGCCUGAAUGCCAGGUUCAUGACAAGGCAGAAGCUGAACAAGUUCUGGAGAACUCUCCUGUAUAUCUCCUGAAAUUAUCCUGUGGCAAAAAUAUGAGGACCCCCCCAGUGGACAUCUGGAGCCUGGGUGUCAUUCUGCAUUUCAUGGUUAUAGGAGAUACCCAUUUAUGGGAACCACUGCUAAGCAACUGAAGAAGCAGACUGUGCAGGCAAGGUACACCUUCCCCCUGCACGUCUCUGAGGGAGCACAGAGCCUCAUCCAUCAAAUACUGACAGUGGUCUCCAUACAGAGGCCCCAAGUAAAGCAUAUAAUUGG
RNAcentral lists this long non-coding RNA (689 nucleotides) under Marmota monax (woodchuck). The record is from RNAcentral. Lineage: Eukaryota; Metazoa; Chordata; Mammalia; Rodentia; Sciuridae.